Molecule: long non-coding RNA, 369 nt
Organism: Megalops cyprinoides (Indo-Pacific tarpon)
Lineage: Eukaryota; Metazoa; Chordata; Actinopteri; Elopiformes; Megalopidae
Exons: 4
Source: RefSeq, a predicted model, not a curated record
CCCAAGGCUUCCUUUCUGUCCACUGUGGCUGUGGAACCAGACGAAGGAGGACAGGGCUUCUACAGUCACCCUGUAUUGGGGUCACCCUUGAUGAUCUGUGGGACGCUGUUGCUACUGGCGGUUGUUGUCAUGGUUCCCUGGAACAUGUGGUACCAGUACAAGAGGAUCCAGAAAAGGAGGAACAUGGAUGAGCUCGCCACCUCCCUCAGCAUGUACCCAGGCUGCGAGGGCGACCGGGCCAAAACCUCUGUCCUCUUCCUCAACACCGCCUCUCAGCAGGUGCACGUGCUCUGACUGCAGGUCACCCGCAGCUGAGUGGGCCGUGCCCCCGUACGCAGCGUGAGAGAGCGCACGUGCAACACAGCACAC